UACGAAGGGUGCAAGCGUUACUCGGAAUUACUGGGCGUAAAGCGUGCGUAGGCGGUUUGUUAAGUCCGUUGUGAAAGCCCUGGGCUCAACCUGGGAAUUGCAGUGGAUACUGGCGAGCUAGAGUGCGGUAGAGGAUGGUGGAAUUCCCGGUGUAGCGGUGAAAUGCGUAGAGAUCGGGAGGAACACCCGUGGCGAAGGCGGCCAUCUGGACCAGCACUGACGCUGAGGCACGAAAGCGUGGGGAGCAAACAGG
This 253-nucleotide ribosomal RNA is filed under the name uncultured bacterium. Its description in RNAcentral is "partial 16S ribosomal RNA". It matches the Rfam family "Bacterial small subunit ribosomal RNA", at positions 524 to 776 of the family's 1533-position model. RNAcentral also lists the same sequence under 1 other name. The record is from RNAcentral.